Molecule: ribosomal RNA, 493 nt
Filed under: uncultured bacterium
Lineage: Bacteria
Description: partial 16S ribosomal RNA
Rfam family: Bacterial small subunit ribosomal RNA
Source: RNAcentral
ACGAGCGCUGGCGGCGUGCUUAACACAUGCAAGUCGAACGGUGAAGCGCCUUCCUUUUUGGUGGGUGUGGAUGAGUGGCGAACGGGUGAGUAACACGUGAGUAACCUGCCCCCUUCUUCUGGAUAACCGCAUGAAAGUGUGGCUAAUACGGGAUAUUCUGGGUCUGUCGCAUGAUGGGUCUGGGAAAGAUAUUGUUUCGGUGGGGGAUGGGCUCGCGGCCUAUCAGCUUGUUGGUGGGGUGAUGGCCUACCAAGGCGGUGACGGGUAGCCGGCCUGAGAGGGUGGACGGUCACACUGGGACUGAGACACGGCCCAGACUCCUACGGGAGGCAGCAGUGGGGAAUAUUGCACAAUGGGCGCAAGCCUGAUGCAGCGACGCCGCGUGAGGGAUGGAGGCCUUCAGGUUGUGAACCUCUUUCGCCAGUGAAGCAGGCCUGCCUCGUUUGUGGGUGGGUUGACGGUAGCUGGAGAAGAAGCGCCGGCUAACUACGUG